RNAcentral lists this small nuclear RNA (22 nucleotides) under Arabidopsis thaliana (thale cress). RNAcentral describes it as "snRNA_13351". The record is from RNAcentral. Lineage: Eukaryota; Viridiplantae; Streptophyta; Magnoliopsida; Brassicales; Brassicaceae.
UGCUACUUUUAGUUAAAAUAAA